CAGGGACAAGUAACCCGGAUGCUCCCCGGUGUAACAAACAUGUCCAACAGUGUCGCACACUCCUCAUGUUUGUUGCUUUUUUGCGGCUCUUUUCGCUCCCGGGAGAACGGCGGAGGUGUCGCUACGGAAUGUGGAGGUCAACUAGAGCCAGCAGGCUGUGUUCCGGAAGACACUAUAUGCCAACACCACCAUCUUCAUGAAGU
Long non-coding RNA from Entelurus aequoreus (snake pipefish), 203 nucleotides. RefSeq lists it as uncharacterized. The record is from RefSeq and is a predicted model, not a curated record. Lineage: Eukaryota; Metazoa; Chordata; Actinopteri; Syngnathiformes; Syngnathidae. The transcript has 2 exons.